This 75-nucleotide transfer RNA is filed under the name Nomascus leucogenys (northern white-cheeked gibbon). Its description in RNAcentral is "tRNA-Asn (GTT) (tRNA-Asn-GTT-6-1)". It matches the Rfam family "tRNA". From Rfam's summary of the family: Transfer RNA (tRNA) molecules are approximately 80 nucleotides in length. Their secondary structure includes four short double-helical elements and three loops (D, anti-codon, and T loops). Lineage: Eukaryota; Metazoa; Chordata; Mammalia; Primates; Hylobatidae. The record is from Rfam by way of RNAcentral.
GUCUCUGUGGCGCAAUUGGUUAGCGCGUUCGGCUGUUAACUGUAAAGGUUGGUGGUUCGAGCCCACCCAGGGACG